RNAcentral lists this long non-coding RNA (1303 nucleotides) under Numida meleagris (helmeted guineafowl). RNAcentral's name for it is "lncRNA (ENSNMEG00000016698.1)". Lineage: Eukaryota; Metazoa; Chordata; Aves; Galliformes; Numididae. The record is from RNAcentral.
AUGACCGCGACGCCGGGCCGGGCCGCCCCGCACCUGCCGGGAGCCGCCGGCUCGCCGCCUCCUCCCGCUCCCCGCUCACCGAGCAGCAGCAGCCGGCACCACAUCGGUUUCUUUUUUUCACAAGCAAACUUCAAAUUUACCUCCUGUGCUGCAACCGAUGUACCCGGCCGGGGCUCUAUCUGUGGCUGUGGCACCGACCCCUUCCCUGGCAGCGCCCUCGAUGCACGGCACUGCCAACUCUGUCAUGCUGCAUUUCACACUCAUCUCCGGCCAGCUCUGAGCAUUCCCUUACAACAUGACUAAUGCUCUCCGGGGCCCGGCCACACAUCCUGCAUGCUGGAGUCAGACCUCUCCAAGCAGCUCUCGGUGCUGCAGCGUACCCCUGCUAACAGCCUGCAUGCUUAUCGCUGAACUCUCAGUGCUUUCUCGCAAGUUGGACAUGUUGAUGGAAAUCUCUCUUUGCAAAGCUGUGAGUCUCUGUGAGCAGAACACACCCAUUAUGAGCUGCUCACUUCCUUGUUUCUGCAGUGCCCAAGGCUGAGCAGGUCACGUACUGCAGCGCGAGCCUGCAUCCCUAGUGAGGGGAUUGCUGCAUCAGCUGUGGGAGCUGCAGGACACUGCUGGCCAGGUGUGCCAGCCAGCUCCGGCAUCUUUUUGUACCUUGCCACUCAUGAGGUUUUUGCUAGUCUUGGGAUUUAACCCAACCUGUCUGGUUGGCACGGACUCUGCAGGGAGGCAGCACCAAGCAGCUCACAGCCCUCGGCCCCAUCCCUCAGCUGCUCUGCCAAGCACCUCGCUGGCUCCCUGCUUCCCGCGUGCUUCCAGGAACAGUCAGCGAUGGUGAGUGGGGAUGCCAGAACCAAGUUCAGGAAACACAUUUAAAUGAUCUGUGAGUCUGGGCUCAGGCAGGGUCACGAACAAAUGCUUCACGGCAGGAACAGCCCCAGAGACACUGGCACCUAUUCCAUCAGAAGACGCUGCGUGCCUGUGUCCAUUAAGAAGGAUGCCAGGUAUUGCAGUGCUUUUACUUCUGUUUCACCUAGGCCGGGCCUAGGAGGUGGUGGUCAGGUCCUUCCCUCUCCAGUCCUCAUGUUGUGCUCAGGGAGGUCAGUGGGUCUGUUCCUGGAGCAUAAGGAGAGAACAUCUACUUCUUUCUAUUAAUUGUGUUGCCUAUGCAGCGUACAUGGCACCUAAUCAAUACCUUGCUGCCUGGCUGUUACAAUACUUAGUAAGUGUACAAAUUAAAUCAUUACCCAGCGGAUAAGUUCACUUCAAACAUGACUGUGAACCCAAGAUUCAGAAG